RNAcentral lists this ribosomal RNA (253 nucleotides) under uncultured bacterium. Its description in RNAcentral is "partial 16S ribosomal RNA". It matches the Rfam family "Bacterial small subunit ribosomal RNA", at positions 524 to 776 of the family's 1533-position model. The record is from RNAcentral.
UACGUAGGGCGCAAGCGUUAUCCGGAAUUAUUGGGCGUAAAGGGCGCGUAGGCGGUUUGUUAAGUCGGUCGUGAAAGCCCGGGGCUCAACCCCGGAGGGUCGACCGAUACUGGCAGACUAGAGUACAGAAGAGGUAACUGGAAUUCCCGGUGUAGCGGUGAAAUGCGUAGAUAUCGAGAGGAACACCUGCGGCGAAGGCGGCAUCCUGGACCAACACUGACACUGAGGUGCGAAAGCGUGGGGAGCAAACAGG